AUACGUAGGUGGCAAGCGUUAUCCGGAAUUACUGGGCGUAAAGCGAGCGCAGGCGGUUUUUUAAGUUCUGAUGUGAAAGCCCUUGGCUCAACCAAGGAAGUGCAUCGGAAACUGGAGAACUUGAGUGCAGAAGAGGACAGUGGAACUCCAUGUGUAGCGGUGAAAUGCGUAGAUAUAUGGAAGAACACCAGUGGCGAAGGCGGCUGUCUGGUCUGUAACUGACGCUGAGGCUCGAAAGUAUGGGGAGC
This 248-nucleotide ribosomal RNA is filed under the name uncultured bacterium. Its description in RNAcentral is "partial 16S ribosomal RNA". It matches the Rfam family "Bacterial small subunit ribosomal RNA", at positions 523 to 769 of the family's 1533-position model. The record is from RNAcentral.